This 299-nucleotide unclassified non-coding RNA is filed under the name uncultured fungus. RNAcentral describes it as "sequence contains ITS2". Lineage: Eukaryota; Fungi. The record is from RNAcentral.
AACGCACAUUGCGCCCAUUAGUAUUCUACUGGGCAUGCCUGUUCGAGCGUCAUUUCAACCCUCAAGCUUUUUUUGCUUGUUGUUGGGGUUUUAUCUACAGAAAGAAGCUUAAUAAACUUUAAAACUUUUUAUUCCUCUUUGUAGGCCCUCAAAUUAAGUGUGCAGGACUGCUGAAACUCCGAACGUAGUAGCUUUAUUUCUCGUUCUGGAUUGUUUUGGUAGGGCUUUCUAGCCGUUAAAAGCCUCUAUUUUAUUCAAUGGUUGACCUCGAAUCAGGUAGGAAUACCCGCUGAACUUAA